Molecule: ribosomal RNA, 326 nt
Filed under: uncultured eukaryote
Lineage: Eukaryota
Description: partial 18S ribosomal RNA
Rfam family: Eukaryotic small subunit ribosomal RNA
Source: RNAcentral
CCCUUAGAUGUUCUGGGCCGCACGCGCGCUACACUGAUGCAUUCAACAAGCCUAGCCUUGACUGAGAGGUCCGGGUAAUCUUUGAAACUGCAUCGUGAUGGGGCUAGAUUAUUGCAAUUAUUAAUCUUCAACGAGGAAUGCCUAGUAAGCGUGAUUCAUCAAAUCGCGUUGAUUACGUCCCUGCCCUUUGUACACACCGCCCGUCGCUCCUACCGAUUGAAUGUGUUGGUGAGGAGCUCGGAUUGGCAGCAGUUGGUGGUUCGCCACCGGCUAUUGCUGAGAAGUCCUCCAAACCGCCCCAUUUAGAGGAAGGAGAAGUCGUAACA